ACAUGGCGGAGACGGUGGUGCC
This 22-nucleotide microRNA is filed under the name bovine alphaherpesvirus 1. RNAcentral's name for it is "bhv1-miR-B10". Its record names the gene bhv1-miR-B10. The record is from miRBase by way of RNAcentral. Lineage: Duplodnaviria; Heunggongvirae; Peploviricota; Herviviricetes; Herpesvirales; Orthoherpesviridae.